GUCCACGCCUAACGAUGCAUACUUGGUGUGAGCGAUUCAUUCGUUCGUGCCGGAGCUAACGCGUUAAGUAUGCCGCCUGGGAGUACGGUCGCAAGGCUGAACUCAAGGAAUUGACGGGCCGGCACAAGCGGUGGAGCAUGUGGUUUAAUUUCGAGGCAACGCGAAGAACCUUACCCAGGCUUGACAUCCUGCGCUACUCUUGGAACAAGGGGUUCCCUUCGGGACGCAGAGACAGGUGUUGCAUGGCUGUCGU
Molecule: ribosomal RNA, 253 nt
Filed under: uncultured bacterium
Lineage: Bacteria
Description: partial 16S ribosomal RNA
Rfam family: Bacterial small subunit ribosomal RNA
Source: RNAcentral